UUCGUCAGCAUCGGAUGAAUGUAAAUGGACUGCCAGUGUAUAAUAAGGCCCCUUCGGCUUCUCGUCUGUCCGUCCGUCCGUCUGUCCACCUAGUCUUUGGCGGGUCAACAUCGGUUGAAAAAGGCAAGGAAAUAUCCUUUAAAUUCUUACUACCUAACCUAACGAUGAGCUCAUAUUUAGGUCAAUGUCUGCAUCACAACCAACGGAAUCAACAAUCCGAGAGUCAAACGUUCGUAUUGCAGUCGGGUUUCCUGGUCAUGAGAAUCUUUAUGGAAUACUUGAUUGACGCUGGGGUAUGCAACAGCGUCUGGGUCCCUCGCUGGGGUAUGGUGGAUGUGAUUGUGGUGGCUGCGGAUGUGGUGCUUGCUGAUUUUCCUUAUAGCAGUGGAAGAGUAUUGGCUUUGGUUCUUUCGUUUUCGCCUUCCAAUUUAUUUAUGGAUUUGAUUUCUCUUAGUCUUU
Long non-coding RNA from Stomoxys calcitrans (stable fly), 459 nucleotides. RefSeq lists it as uncharacterized. The record is from RefSeq and is a predicted model, not a curated record. The transcript has 3 exons. Lineage: Eukaryota; Metazoa; Arthropoda; Insecta; Diptera; Muscidae.